ACCGGCGGACGGGUGCGUAACGCGUACACAACAUGCCCUUUAGCGGGGGAUAGCAUCGGGAAACUGAUGGUAAAACCCCAUGGUGUUGAAUGGUGGCAUCAUUAUUCAACUAAAGGUUACACUGAAGGAUUGGUGUGCGUAUGAUUAGCUAGUUGGUAGGGUAACGGCUUACCAAGGCGAUGAUCAUUAGGGGGUGUGAGAGCAUGACCCCCCACACGGGUACUGAGACACGGACCCGACUCCUACGGGAGGCAGCAGUAAGGAAUAUUGGACAAUGGAGGCAACUCUGAUCCAGCCAUGCCGCGUGAAGGACGAAGGCGCUCUGCGUUGUAAACUUCUUUUGUACNGGAACAAAACCCCCGAUGCGUCGGGGACUGAGGGUACUGUAAGAAUAAGCACCGGCUAACUCCGUGCCAGCAGCCGCGGUAAUACGGAGGGUGCAAGCGUUAUCCGGAAUCACUGGGUUUAAAGGGUGCGUAGGCGG
This 484-nucleotide ribosomal RNA is filed under the name uncultured bacterium. RNAcentral describes it as "bacterial SSU rRNA". It matches the Rfam family "Bacterial small subunit ribosomal RNA", at positions 94 to 578 of the family's 1533-position model. The record is from RNAcentral.